RNAcentral lists this ribosomal RNA (378 nucleotides) under uncultured bacterium. RNAcentral describes it as "bacterial SSU rRNA". It matches the Rfam family "Bacterial small subunit ribosomal RNA", at positions 521 to 898 of the family's 1533-position model. The record is from RNAcentral.
UAAUACAGAGGGUGCGAGCGUUAAUCGGAUUUACUGGGCGUAAAGCGUGCGUAGGCGGCUUCUUAAGUCGGAUGUGAAAUCCCUGAGCUUAACUUAGGAAUUGCAUUCGAUACUGGGAAGCUAGAGUAUGGGAGAGGAUGGUAGAAUUCCAGGUGUAGCGGUGAAAUGCGUAGAGAUCUGGAGGAAUACCGAUGGCGAAGGCAGCCAUCUGGCCUAAUACUGACGCUGAGGUACGAAAGCAUGGGGAGCAAACAGGAUUAGAUACCCUGGUAGUCCAUGCCGUAAACGAUGUCUACUAGCCGUUGGGGCCUUUGAGGCUUUAGUGGCGCAGCUAACGCGAUAAGUAGACCGCCUGGGGAGUACGGUCGCAAGACUAAA